RNAcentral lists this ribosomal RNA (298 nucleotides) under Bacillus cereus. Its description in RNAcentral is "partial 23S ribosomal RNA". It matches the Rfam family "Bacterial large subunit ribosomal RNA", at positions 496 to 797 of the family's 2925-position model. Lineage: Bacteria; Bacillati; Bacillota; Bacilli; Caryophanales; Bacillaceae. The record is from RNAcentral.
CAGUACCGUGAGGGAAAGGUGAAAAGCACCCCGGAAGGGGAGUGAAAGAGAUCCUGAAACCGUGUGCCUACAAAUAGUCAGAGCCCGUUAAUGGGUGAUGGCGUGCCUUUUGUAGAAUGAACCGGCGAGUUACGAUCCCGUGCAAGGUUAAGCUGAAGAGGCGGAGCCGCAGCGAAAGCGAGUCUGAAUAGGGCGUUUAGUACGUGGUCGUAGACCCGAAACCAGGUGAUCUACCCAUGUCCAGGGUGAAGUUCAGGUAACACUGAAUGGAGGCCCGAACCCACGCACGUUGAAAAGU